This 424-nucleotide ribosomal RNA is filed under the name uncultured bacterium. Its description in RNAcentral is "partial 16S ribosomal RNA". It matches the Rfam family "Bacterial small subunit ribosomal RNA", at positions 360 to 776 of the family's 1533-position model. The record is from RNAcentral.
AAUUUUGGACAAUGGGGGAAACCCUGAUCCAGCCAUCUCGCGUGUAUGAUGAAGGCCUUCGGGUUGUAAAGUACUUUCGGCAGAGAAGAAAAGGUAUCCCCUAAUACGGGAUACUGCUGUUGGUAUCUGCAGAAUACGCACCUGCUAACUACGUGCCAGAAGCCGAGGUAAUACGUAGGGUGCAAGCGUUAAUCGGAAUUACUGGGCGUAAGGCGGGUGUAGGCGGUUCGGAAAGAACGAUGUGAAAUCCCAGGGCUCAACCUUGGAACUUCAUUUUUAACUGCCGAGCUAGAGUAUGUCAGAGGGGGGUAGAAUUCCACGUGUAGCAGUGAAAUGCGUAGAUAUGUGGAGGAAUACCGAUGGCGAAGGCAGCCCCCUGGGAUAAUACUGACGCUCAGACACGAAAGCGUGGGGAGCAAACAGG